This 440-nucleotide ribosomal RNA is filed under the name uncultured bacterium. RNAcentral describes it as "partial 16S ribosomal RNA". It matches the Rfam family "Bacterial small subunit ribosomal RNA", at positions 338 to 795 of the family's 1533-position model. The record is from RNAcentral.
CCUACGGGUGGCAGCAGUGGGGGAUAUUGCACAAUGGGGGAAACCCUGAUGCAGCGACGCCGCGUGAGUGAAGAAGUAUUUCGGUAUGUAAAGCUCUAUCAGCAGGGAAGAAAAUGACAGUACCUGACCAAGAAGCCCCGGCUAACUACGUGCCAGCAGCCGCGGUAAUACGUAGUGGUCAAACUUUAUCCUGCUUGUCUGGUUGUAAAGGGAGCGUAGACGGUUAUGUAAGUCUGGAGUGAAAGCACGGGGCCCAACCCCGGGACUGCUUUGGAAACUGUGUAACUGGAGUACAGGAGGGGCAGGCGGAAUUCCUGGGGUAGCGGUGAAAGGCGUAGAUAUCAGGAGGAACACCGGCGGCGAAGGCGGCCUGCUGGACUGAAACUGACGUUGAGGCUCGAAAGCGUGGGGAGCAAACAGGAUUAGAUACCCCUGUAGUC